RNAcentral lists this ribosomal RNA (468 nucleotides) under uncultured bacterium. RNAcentral describes it as "partial 16S ribosomal RNA". It matches the Rfam family "Bacterial small subunit ribosomal RNA", at positions 28 to 507 of the family's 1533-position model. The record is from RNAcentral.
GACGAACGCUGGCGGCGUGCUUAACACAUGCAAGUCGAACGGAAAGGCCCUGCUUUUGUGGGGUGCUCGAGUGGCGAACGGGUGAGUAACACGUGAGUAACCUGCCCUUGACUUUGGGAUAACUUCAGGAAACUGGGGCUAAUACCGGAUAGGAGCUCCUGCUGCAUGGUGGGGGUUGGAAAGUUUCGGCGGUUGGGGAUGGACUCGCGGCUUAUCAGCUUGUUGGUGGGGUAGUGGCUUACCAAGGCUUUGACGGGUAGCCGGCCUGAGAGGGUGACCGGCCACAUUGGGACUGUGAGACGGCCCAGACUCCUAUGCGGGGCAGCGGUGGGGAGUAUUGCACAAUGGGCGGAAGCCUGAUACAGCGACGCCGCGUGCGGGAUGACGGCCUUCGGGUUGUGAACCGCUUUCGCCUGUGACGAGGCGUGAGUGACGGUAAUGGGUAAAGAAGCACCGGCUAACUACGUG